CAUGGAGGGUGAGAAUCCCGUCCGGUUGAUCAUUGCGUUUUACGAUACGCUUUCUAAGAGUCAAGUUGUUUGGGAUUGCAGCUUAAAAUGGGAGGUAAAUUUCUCCUAAGGCUAAAUAACGGCGAGAGACCGAUAGCGAACAAGUACCGUGAGGGAAAGAUGAAAAGAGCUUUGAAAAGAGAGUUAAACAGUACGUGAAAUUGUUGAAAGGGAAACGAUUGAAGCCAGUCGUACUCAUGGGUAAUCAACCUUUCUGGCGCGAUUAUAUGGGCGUGUUGGAGCCUAACCGGUCCUCGCGUUUUUAUAUUCGUUCCCCUUGGGUGUACUUGCCCGUGUGUAGGUUAACAUCAAUUUCGGACGUCAUAAAAUGACGGGAGGAAUGUAGCUUCGGUCUCGUACUGAAGUGUUAUAGCCUCUGGUAGAUGUGACGUUUGGGAUUGAGGAUUGCAACGAACCCUUCGGGGCUACCUGUCUGAUCUCUGAGAGUUGCUCUGGUGCUGAAAGCUUGCUUAUGGUAUCAAAGUUGACGUUCAAUAGGUUAGAACGGGAUAAGUUCGUUAAGGAUGUUGACGUAAUGG
RNAcentral lists this ribosomal RNA (578 nucleotides) under uncultured Glomeromycotina. RNAcentral describes it as "LSU rRNA". It matches the Rfam family "Eukaryotic large subunit ribosomal RNA", at positions 204 to 637 of the family's 3401-position model. Lineage: Eukaryota; Fungi; Glomeromycota. The record is from RNAcentral.